UUAUGAAAAGGAUCCAUUCCUCAGUGAUGGAGCAGCAAGAAAUACAGAGAUACAGCCGGUGAGAGAGAGAGAGAGAGAGAGGAGGGAGGACACUCGAAAGCCCUACUUGAUGCUUCCUGCAUGCCAUACGGCGAGGUAGCUACUAGGUAGCAGCUAGAGGUGAGGAUGGUGCAUAGCUUUCAGUGAUGCAUGGUAGGUGAAGGAGGCUCUUUCUAGGGCACCAUCCAUCUCGCUCAAGACUCUCUCGCUCGCAAUACGUACUUUUAUGCUCACGCAAUAGAUCCACACAGGCACUAGCUAGGCACUAGCUGUGUAGUACGUGUAUGUACUCAUGUACACUAUAUAUAUUUUUACAGAUGGAUGAGAUGAUGGAGAGAGCUCUGUUGCAUGCAUGUUCUCUUGUACACACGCUCGCUCGCCAUCUGCCGAUCUGCGCCAUUGCACUACUACUAGUGCACGGGAGCUAGCUAGGGAAUGGAAGAAAGCCAAGCAAAAGAGAAGGACGGAGCAGAAAAAGGCUUGGGGACAAUGAUGAGCUUGCAGGCCAUUUUCUGAGCCUAGGGGUGCAUAGGAAAAGAAAGAACAGAAAGGCGUGUCCGUGGGGGCUCCUGCCUAAGGCUAUGCAUGCUACUACGCAUCUCCAAAAGCUUUUGUGUGCGCGCGCGCGGAAGUGCACAAGGGAGUAGCAAGCUGCCAAGGUCCAUCACUAGCCAGUGAUAACUAACCAUCUAUCUAACACCCUCACUUUCUCUCUCUAGGAUGGAUGGGGGGAGAGAGAGGAGAGCUACUCUCUUGUCAAGUGGUGGUGGUAGUAGUGGUGGUGAUGGUGUGAGAGAGGGGUGAUGUGCCACCCCAGGACAUACACCCCUCACCUACAACAGGAACAAGACCUCGCUCGCUUACAUGUAUGCUGUCACACACACUUAACGCACAUGUAUAUUUUAUACAGAGACAACACACUAGCUAGAAAUACUACGAGAGCAUAUUAUAUAUAAUAUAUAUUAUAUAUAUUAUAAACAUGUAAGUGUGUGUAGUCCCACAUCUGUAUGGUACAACUAGUCCCUUUUCUAGCUCUUGAGUUCCUUUCAUCACCGAUGUUGGGAAAGCAAGGCAAGGGCUGGGGGCAAACAUGCACCAUGAGGGCGUGAUGAAGAAAAAAAAAGGAAUAAAGAUAGGGAAAAAAGCAUCACACAACGAAAAAGAGAAGCAUAUGCAUGAA
This 1219-nucleotide long non-coding RNA is filed under the name Zea mays. RNAcentral's name for it is "long non-coding RNA (ZMAY_LNC000855)". The record is from RNAcentral. Lineage: Eukaryota; Viridiplantae; Streptophyta; Magnoliopsida; Poales; Poaceae.